RNAcentral lists this ribosomal RNA (253 nucleotides) under uncultured bacterium. RNAcentral describes it as "partial 16S ribosomal RNA". It matches the Rfam family "Bacterial small subunit ribosomal RNA", at positions 524 to 776 of the family's 1533-position model. The record is from RNAcentral.
UACAGAGGGUGCAAGCGUUGUUCGGAAUUAUUGGGCGUAAAGGGCGCGUAGGCGGUGCGGUAAGUCUGAAGUGAAAUCUCUGGGCUCAACUCAGAGUCUGCUGUGGAAACUGCCGUGCUUGAGUGUGGGAGAGGUGAGUGGAAUUCCAGGUGUAGCGGUGAAAUGCGUAGAUAUCUGGAGGAAUACCGGUGGCGAAGGCGGCAUCCUGGACCAUUACUGACGCUGAGGCGCGAAAGCUAGGGGAGCAAACGGG